This 389-nucleotide ribosomal RNA is filed under the name uncultured bacterium. RNAcentral describes it as "bacterial SSU rRNA". It matches the Rfam family "Bacterial small subunit ribosomal RNA", at positions 355 to 761 of the family's 1533-position model. The record is from RNAcentral.
UGGGGAAUAUUGCACAAUGGGCGAAAGCCUGAUGCAGCAAUGCCGCGUGUGUGAAGAAGGCCUGCGGGUUGUAAAGCACUUUCGGUAGGAAAGAUUAUGACGGUACCUACAGAAGAAGCACCGGCUAACUCCGUGCCAGCAGCCGCGGUAAUACGGAGGGUGCAAGCGUUAAUCGGAAUUACUGGGCGUAAAGCGCGUGUAGGCGGUCUUGUAAGUCGGAUGUGAAAUCCCCGGGCUCAACCUGGGAACUGCAUUCGAUACUGCUCGACUAGAGUAUGGAAGAGGGAAGCGGAAUUCCGGGUGUAGCGGUGAAAUGCGUAGAUAUCCGGAGGAACACCAGUGGCGAAGGCGGCUCACUGGAUCGGUACUGACGCUGAGGUGCGAAAGCG